Molecule: ribosomal RNA, 439 nt
Filed under: uncultured Prosthecobacter sp.
Lineage: Bacteria; Pseudomonadati; Verrucomicrobiota; Verrucomicrobiia; Verrucomicrobiales; Verrucomicrobiaceae
Description: bacterial SSU rRNA
Rfam family: Bacterial small subunit ribosomal RNA
Source: RNAcentral
CCUACGGGAGGCAGCAGUCGAGAAUCUUUCACAAUGGGGGCAACCCUGAUGGAGCGACGCCGCGUGGAGGAUAAGGUCUUCGGAUUGUAAACUCCUGUCAUGCGUGAACAAGGCUGCGAGGAUAAUACCUUUGCAGAUUGAUGGUAGCGCAAGAGGAAGAGACGGCUAACUCUGUGCCAGCAGCCGCGGUAAUACAGAGGUCUCAAGCGUUGUUCGGAAUCACUGGGCGUAAAGGGUGCGUAGGUGGCGUGGUAAGUCAGAUGUGAAAGCCUGGGGCUCAACCUCAGAAUUGCAUCCGAUACUGCUGUGCUAGAGUACUGGAGGGGUGACUAGAAUUCUCGGUGUAGCAGUGAAAUGCGUAGAUAUCGAGAGGAAUACCAAAGGCGUAGGCAGGUCACUGGACAGUUACUGACACUGAGGCACGAAGGCCAGGGGAGCG